Molecule: ribosomal RNA, 320 nt
Filed under: Plasmodiophora brassicae
Lineage: Eukaryota; Endomyxa; Phytomyxea; Plasmodiophorida; Plasmodiophoridae
Description: partial 18S ribosomal RNA
Rfam family: 5.8S ribosomal RNA (bases 207-320)
Source: RNAcentral
UGGGCUCUUAGAAGAAGGAGAAGUCGUAACAAGGUUUCCGUAGGUGAACCUGCGGAAGGAUCAUUAACACAUGGGCGGCCCUAGCGAUGCAUCCCAUAUCCAACCCCAUGUGAACCGGGGACGUGCGGCGACUCCAGCUGCGUGUUUCAUUUUCGAACCAUCCUAGCCGAAACACAACUAAAGUUCCAUACAUACAUACAUGUUACAACUCUUAGCAAUGGAUAUCUUGGUUCUCACAACGAUGAAGAACGCAGCGAACUGCGAUACGUAGUGCGAAUUGCAGAAUUCAGUGAAUCAUCAAAUCUUUGAACGCAAGUUGC